CCUACGGGCGGCAGCAGUGAGGAAUAUUGGUCAAUGGACGGAAGUCUGAACCAGCCAUGCCGCGUGCAGGAAGAAGGCUCUAUGAGUUGUAAACUGCUUUUGUACAAGGGUAAACCUGAAUACGUAUCUUCAGCUGAAAGUACUGUAUGAAUAAGGAUCGGCUAACUCAGUGCCAGCAGCCGCGGUAAUACGGAGGAUCCAAGCGUUAUCCGGAUUUAUUGGGUUUAAAGGGUGCGUAGGCGGAUUGGUAAGUUAGAGGUGAAAUGUCCGAGCUUAACUCGGGAACUGCCUCUAAUACUGUUGAACUAGAGAGUAGAUGCGGAAGGCGGAAUGUAUGGUGUAGCGGUGAAAUGCUUAGAGAUAAUGCAGAACACCGAUGGCGAAGGCAGCUUACCAAUCUAUAUCUGACGUUGAGGCACGAAAGCGUGGGGAGCAAACAGGAUUAGAUACCCGGGUAGUC
This 460-nucleotide ribosomal RNA is filed under the name uncultured bacterium. RNAcentral's name for it is "partial 16S ribosomal RNA". It matches the Rfam family "Bacterial small subunit ribosomal RNA", at positions 338 to 795 of the family's 1533-position model. The record is from RNAcentral.